AUGAACUAACACACCUGUCAUAUGCUCAAGAGAAGUUAUGAACUCAGAGCCAAAUUUUCCCUUGCAUUCUGCUGCUGCAUUUUGCUUAUGAGUCAAGGAGUUUGGCAGGAAGGAGCAUAAUUUUGCUGUGAAUUGAGCAGGAAAGACUUGUGAUACAGGCUGGGAUAAAGUUUUUUAAGAACAGAGGAAAAUGCUGGCUCAGGUGCCCAUAAAGAACCUGUACAAUGUAGAAAACAAGUGAAAAUUCUGCAGGCACCAUGAUUUAAAGGAUAAAAUUGAGAGUACCUAAAAAUGAUAAGGAAAGAAUUUAAAUAAAAAGUUUUGGGAAAAGCAAGGAGAUAUUAAGAUAGCUGUGGAAGAAAAAAUAAAUGCUGCAAAAAUUUUGUAAAGUCUUAGAAGAGUAUAACUGAAUUUUGGAGCUGUCUAAUAAAAGAAGUAAACUAAGGGGAUAAGUGAUGUCAUCAGAUCAUGAAAAAAGGAAGACAGGCUCAGCUACAGUGUCUGAAGGCUCUCUAGAAAGAUGGAAGUUGAAGGAGACAGGUAGGACUGGGAAAAGUUUGCAUUAUUUUAUCUUUUUCAUUUGCAGUUGCUGGGGUUGUGUUUGAUUUGCAAGGAGUGGAGAUGGUAAAGUGCGUUCAGUGACUGGCAGAAAAAAGGCCCCAACAGUAGAGGUUCAAUACUUACAGUGAGAAUGGAGAGGGCAUAAAUGCCUCAGUAUAAAAUAACCUCAUUCAUUUGGGAAAAAAAUGUGGGUUGUAUUCAGUUUCUUUGAGUUUUUACAGCAAAACUUUUUACUUUUCUAGAACCAAAACGUAUUGGUUUAGUUUUGUUCCCUGUCAGCCUUGGAGCAGUUCAAGACCGAAAGACUGAAAGAGCAAAUUGAAAAAAAUGUUUUCCCACCUUCUUCUUACCUUUUGACCUUUUUGGAGAAGAAAAGCAAAGCGUGUCUAGGGUUGAGACACCAAAGAGAUGAGCUGGGUGAGAAAGAGACACAAAGAGAACAGAGGAGGCCACUGGAUUUUCAGUGAAGACAGAAGAAAAGCUGAGGAUCCAGAUACAGGAAGGUGGUGUUAACUAAAGUAAGUGAAGAGGUUACAACUGGUGUGACUGCAAAGAAGGGAGAGAAAAGGAGAAAAUGAGAUGCUCCAUUGGAAAACAUCAUUCAGAAGUGACAGAUUAAGCUACUUGAA
Molecule: long non-coding RNA, 1190 nt
Organism: Chiroxiphia lanceolata (lance-tailed manakin)
Lineage: Eukaryota; Metazoa; Chordata; Aves; Passeriformes; Pipridae
Exons: 3
Source: RefSeq, a predicted model, not a curated record